UGCAAGGCAGGCGCUUAUGCUGCUGAGCUAAUUCCCCAGCCCCCAAUGGAGACUAUUUCAGCCAAAUUGAAAGCAAUUUCAUGGAUCUACAUAAAAGGCAUGAUCCUUGGGUUGGAGAUUACGAAUAUAACUUCUCUGAGCCUUAGUGUCCUUGUCUAUCUGCAUGUAAAAUUCCUGUGUGGCCAGCCUGGGCUAUUAUUUGUAUUGAAUAUUUUGCAGUACACUCACCAUAGGUACAAAGCACAACAUGUACAGAUUCAUGAUUUAAUUAAGUUAAUUAACUUACUUAUUUUUUUUUUUUUGUCGUUUUCGUUUUUACUGGUACCAGGGAUUGAACUCACGACUGCCUGCUUGCAAGGCAGGCGCUUAUGCCGCUGAGCUAAAUCCCCAGCCCCCAACUUACUUAUUUUUGAGACAGGGUCUCUCUAUAUAGUUCAGGCUGAUCUUGAACUCACUAUGUAGCCCAGGCUGACCUUGACUUUGCAGUGAUCCUCCUGCCUCCGCCUCCCAAAUGCUAUGAUUACAUCUGUGCAUCACCGCAACUAGCGUCAUGGUUUUAAAAGGGAAUUUGGAAAGGAAAUAACUCUAAGUGGACCAUGCAGGGAGAGCUUCAGACCACCACGGGGGACCUGUGCACCUUGGAGAGGGGAUGGUGAGCAGUUGGUCAGCUGGAGCAGAGAAAUGUGUGGGAGGAGGACAGGAGGCGAGGUGGGCAGGUCUGAGGCUGACGGCCAGGCUGGGUGUUGGGUUCACAAGGGCCGCGACUGGGAAACACUGAAGAGCCUUCGUUACCAGCGCUGCACAGUGAUGCUGGCAUCCAGGCAGCUUUACUGACUCUCACUUCUAGCGAGCUUUUAUUAACAGCCACUGCCAGGCUUCUGCAGUGACCAAGACAGACCAGCCAAGGAAGUUUCUGGUGAAGCCGGGGCAGCUCCUCCAAUACCUUAGCGAUUUGUUAUUCCUCUAACUUGCACGAUGCUCCAGGCAACGCACCUAGGCGCUGGGGGAGAAACAGAAACAAAUCAAAAUGUGACCGCUGCCCUGUAGCUGCCACUCUGCCGAGGGGAGGGGGCGUUACACACGUAAACCGCGUGCUUAGUGAUAACCAUGACUAUAAGACAGCAAGAAAAAGAACAGAAAGCUAAGAGAGCAAGUAACACCGUGAACUCCAUCUUCAUAAACUAAUAACCACAUCCGUGACACUCCCAGAUUAAUUUAUAGUUUACAAAGCCCCUCACGUUCUAUCUCAUGUGGGCUGCAUUUCAGCCUGAGGAGAAAGCCAGCCAGCGGAUCUUAGCCUGUUUUAUUCAUGAGACGGUAAAUAAAUAAGGUGUGAGUCUACCCAGGUAGCAGAGAAUCCCGGCCUAUGCCAACUGGGCACCAAGAGGGUGAGCGUGCACGCGCCCUGGGGAGGGGCAGCCAGCCUCCUGCAUCCAGAAGAGCAAAGUCAGAAACCAAAUGGCAGGAAGGUCAUCUUCCCCGUUUUCCGCCCUCGGAGCCUCCAGGAUAGGCUAGCGUGAGGAACAGAAGUGGUUAGAGGCUCGGCCUUGGGUGGCCCAGAGUAGGGCAGGCAGGCCAGAAUGGCCUGGAAAGCAGAGGCACGAAAGGCCCACAGCACGAAUGGGACUGUGGCCUCAUCAAAGGCAGCCGCCCCCCUCCCGGCAGUGAAAGUGAACGGGCCCAGGCGGAGGUGACAGGCCAGCGAAACUCCCUACCGCAUUCACCUCCGAGGUUAGGGACACGGCAGGGCGGCCCACCUGCCAGUAUCAGCACCUCGAUCACAGAGCUCGUCGGAGAGAGGUUUCCGAAUGACUGGGCCCUGCUGCCCCAGAAAGGAAGCGUUCUGGGCUGCAAGUGCGGGCCAGGCACUUGAAAGUGGUUUUGUGGUGCAGUUUAUGGACUACAUGCUCUUACUGGAGUACGGAGCCUUUGCUGUGAGAUCUCGAGAGAGGAUUCACUAAGCUGUCCAGGUUGGACUUGAAGUUCUGAUCCUCCUGCUUUAACCUCUCAAACUACCAUGAUUACGACAUUUGUGUACUUGUUGAUUCUUUCCUCUUGUACAGUGCCACGACGUAAGUCAGGCAGCAGUCAGCCAGUUUGGGAGGAAGGAACCUGCGUCCAGAGGGCAGACCGGCUCUCAGCUCUCCAUGCUGGCGUCUCUGAUGGGGAGAUGCUCACAGCCGUGCUGCAAGCAGAGAGAAGGGGGCUGUGUUUCACUCCAUCCGUACCCAGAACGGGCCGACGGCCGGGCUGUGCCACCCAGAUCCUGUUUACAAAGGGCAGGAGAACGUUCCAGGUCCUGAGUUGUGUUUCAGUGAAGGCAAACUGAGCCUGAGGAGGAAUGAAAAGAAUUUUGUUGCUUUGGGAGCAUUUAGUACAAACCACACUUCGCUUUGUUUCCGGAUUUUCAAAAGGUUUCAUCUAGCUUCAUUAUUAAAAAAAAUCUAAUUACACAA
This is a long non-coding RNA of Cavia porcellus (domestic guinea pig), 2456 nucleotides long. RefSeq lists it as uncharacterized. Lineage: Eukaryota; Metazoa; Chordata; Mammalia; Rodentia; Caviidae. The record is from RefSeq and is a predicted model, not a curated record. The transcript is spliced from 5 exons.